UGUCCAGGGAUGGGAACCGAACCCACAAUGUUCCGCUUAACGGGCAGAUCCCAUGUCCAUUAGGUUACCCAGUAC
RNAcentral lists this transfer RNA (75 nucleotides) under Cordylochernes scorpioides. RNAcentral describes it as "tRNA-Asn". Lineage: Eukaryota; Metazoa; Arthropoda; Arachnida; Pseudoscorpiones; Chernetidae. The record is from RNAcentral.